UCCAACACUUCCACCUGAAAG
This 21-nucleotide small nuclear RNA is filed under the name Arabidopsis thaliana (thale cress). RNAcentral describes it as "snRNA_05237". Lineage: Eukaryota; Viridiplantae; Streptophyta; Magnoliopsida; Brassicales; Brassicaceae. The record is from RNAcentral.